RNAcentral lists this ribosomal RNA (259 nucleotides) under uncultured bacterium. Its description in RNAcentral is "partial 16S ribosomal RNA". It matches the Rfam family "Bacterial small subunit ribosomal RNA", at positions 524 to 776 of the family's 1533-position model. The record is from RNAcentral.
UACGUAGGGUGCAAGCGUUGUCCGGAAUUAUUGGGCGUAAAGAGCUCGUAGGCGGUCUGUCGCGUCUGCUGUGAAAACUCAGGGCUUAACCCUGAGCUUGCAGUGGGUACGGGCAGACUAGAGUGCGGUAGGGGGAGACUGGAAUUCCUGGUGUAGCGGUGAAAUGCGCAGAUAUCAGGAGGGAACACCGGUGGCGAAGGCGGGUCUCUGGGCCGUAACUGACGCUGGAGGGAGCGGAAAGCAUGGGGGAGCGAACAGG